This 206-nucleotide long non-coding RNA is filed under the name Carica papaya (papaya). RNAcentral describes it as "long non-coding RNA (CPAP_LNC006191)". The record is from RNAcentral. Lineage: Eukaryota; Viridiplantae; Streptophyta; Magnoliopsida; Brassicales; Caricaceae.
AGAGCAUAAUUUAUAAAAAAUUUAUUUAUCAAUGAUAAAACCCUUUACUGUCCACUUACCUCAAUGAGAUUCAUGAAAACAACUUAUAAAAACAAUAACAUUAUAAUAUCAUGAAAUCAUAUGCACUCUGUAACAUAACACGUGUCAUACUUUUAAUGUUUCAAUCAUCAGGCAAAAACUUUCAUCUUUUAUCAGCCUACCAGUAU